GCCCGGGUGGCGGAACCUGGUAGACGCGCGGCGUUGAGGUCGCCGUGUCGCAAGACGUGCGGGUUCGAAUCCCGCCCCGGGCACCA
RNAcentral lists this transfer RNA (86 nucleotides) under Mesorhizobium amorphae. RNAcentral describes it as "tRNA-Leu". It matches the Rfam family "tRNA". Rfam says of the family: Transfer RNA (tRNA) molecules are approximately 80 nucleotides in length. The record is from RNAcentral. Lineage: Bacteria; Pseudomonadati; Pseudomonadota; Alphaproteobacteria; Hyphomicrobiales; Phyllobacteriaceae.